ACGGAAGGCAGCAGUGAGGAAUAUUGGUCAAUGGUCGAGAGACUGAACCAGCCAAGUAGCGUGAAGGAUGACUGCCCUAUGGGUUGUAAACUUCUUUUGUAUGGGAAUAAAGUGAGGUACGUGUACUUUUUUGUAUGUACCAUACGAAUAAGCAUCGGCUAAUUCCGUGCCAGCAGCCGCGGUAAUACGGAAGAUGCGAGCGUUAUCCGGAUUUAUUGGGUUUAAAGGGAGCGUAGGCCGUGCUUUAAGCGUGUUGUGAAAUGUAGGCGCCCAACGUCUGCACUGCAGCGCGAACUGGAGCACUUGAGUACGCAGGAAGUAGGCGGAAUUCGUCGUGUAGCGGUGAAAUGCUUAGAUAUGACGAAGAACUCCGAUUGGGAAGCCAGCUUACUGUAGCGCCACUGACGCUGAUGCUCGAAAGCGUGGGUAUCGAACAGGAUUAGAUACCCUGGUA
RNAcentral lists this ribosomal RNA (454 nucleotides) under uncultured Prevotella sp. Its description in RNAcentral is "partial 16S ribosomal RNA". It matches the Rfam family "Bacterial small subunit ribosomal RNA", at positions 341 to 792 of the family's 1533-position model. Lineage: Bacteria; Pseudomonadati; Bacteroidota; Bacteroidia; Bacteroidales; Prevotellaceae. The record is from RNAcentral.